GUGUAAUUUUUUCUUUUGGUUUUUGUGAAGGAGCACCACGAGAAACACUCCAAUUGGUGGGGUGUGAGCCGUGAGGGGUUCUCGUCUGUAGUGGACGAGGGCCGGGUGCACAACAACAGGCAAUCGCCAGACACACUAUUGGGCCCUGAGACAACACUCGGCCGACUUCGGUUGAAGUGGUGUCCCUCCAUCUUGGUGGUGGGGUGUGGUGUUUGAGUAUUGGAUAGUGGUUGCGAGCAUCUAAAUGAACGCGU
This 254-nucleotide unclassified non-coding RNA is filed under the name Mycobacterium simiae. RNAcentral describes it as "partial miscellaneous RNA". Lineage: Bacteria; Bacillati; Actinomycetota; Actinomycetes; Mycobacteriales; Mycobacteriaceae. The record is from RNAcentral.